Molecule: long non-coding RNA, 572 nt
Filed under: Anas platyrhynchos platyrhynchos (common mallard)
Lineage: Eukaryota; Metazoa; Chordata; Aves; Anseriformes; Anatidae
Description: lncRNA (ENSAPLG00000016896.1)
Source: RNAcentral
UUAGUAUAUUAGGGUCUAAGAGAAUUGCUGAAGGUGAGAUCUGUCGGUGAACUUGAAUGCGUGUCUCUGAACAAGUGAGGAAGAAUCUCUGUGAUACCUACUAUAUUCCUGAAAGUCAAGCACAGCAGGUUUGGUGUCCAAUUUUUGAAUAUCAGCAUGAUAUCAGCCAUUCUAACCUCCUGAAACCUUCUAUAACUGUGCUACAACCUCUGGUCCAGAGUUCUCAUUGGCCAACACUUUAAGAUGUGCAGUUUGUUCAGAACAGCAGCCUUUUAUUUGGGAAGGAAGGAUGCCUACACCACCUGCUGAACCAGCAUGGUAUCCUGCAUGCCUUUUACUUCAUUGCCCAUUCAAAAGGGAUAAUGGAGAAGGAGAAAAGGAUGAAGCAGGAUAUGAUGGGGGAACUUAGGAAACCUGAUCUCACUUCCUCACUCACCCAGGUGUCCUCUGUUACACAGCUGCUGCUCCUCUUCCAAAUUCUGCUAAUGAAGAGGACUGAACAAAUCUAUUUGUAUCCUGAUCACAUUCUGCACUGCUGGGGAUUCACCACCACACAGCCUUACUCAGCGUGA